UAGGGAAUCUUCCGCAAUGGACGCAAGUCUGACGGAGCAACGCCGCGCGAGUGAAGAAGGAUUUCGGUUCGUAAAACUCUGUUGUUAGAGAAGAACAGCGCAUAGAGUAACUGUUAUGCGUGUGACGGUAUCUAACCAGAAAGCCACGGCUAACUACGUGCCAGCAGCCGCGGUAAUACGUAGGUGGCAAGCGUUGUCCGGAUUUAUUGGGCGUAAAGCGAGCGCAGGCGGUCAAUUAAGUCUGAUGUGAAAGCCCCCGGCUCAACCGGGGAGGGUCAUUGGAAACUGGUUGACUGGAGUGCAGAAGAGGAGAGUGGAAUUCCGUGUGUAGCGGUGAAAUGCGUAGAUAUAUGGAGGAACACCAGUGGCGAAGGCGACUCUCUGGUCUGUAACUGACGCUGAGGCUCGAAAGCGUGGGUAGCAGGCAGG
Molecule: ribosomal RNA, 429 nt
Filed under: Bacteroidota bacterium
Lineage: Bacteria; Pseudomonadati; Bacteroidota
Description: Bacteroidetes bacterium partial 16S ribosomal RNA
Rfam family: Bacterial small subunit ribosomal RNA
Source: RNAcentral